RNAcentral lists this ribosomal RNA (718 nucleotides) under uncultured bacterium. Its description in RNAcentral is "bacterial SSU rRNA". It matches the Rfam family "Bacterial small subunit ribosomal RNA", at positions 8 to 720 of the family's 1533-position model. The record is from RNAcentral.
AGAGUUUGAUCCUGGCUCAGAUUGAACGCUGGCGGCAGGCCUAACACAUGCAAGUCGAGCGGAUGAAGAGAGCUUGCUCUCUGAUUCAGCGGCGGACGGGUGAGUAAUGCCUAGGAAUCUGCCUGAUAGUGGGGGGCAACGUUUCGAAAGGAACGCUAAUACCGCAUACGUCCUACGGGAGAAAGCAGGGGACCUUCGGGCCUUGCGCUAUCACAUGAGACUAGGUCGGAUUACCUAGUUGGCGAGGUAAUGGCUCACCAAGGCGACGAUCCGUAACUGGUCUGAGAGGAUGAUCACUCACACUGGAACUGACACACCGUCCACACUCCUACAGGAGGCAGCACUGGGGAAUAUUGGACAAUGGGCGAAAGCCUGAUCCAGCCGUGCCGCGUGUGUGAAGAAUGCCUUCGGAUUGUAAAGCACUUUAAGUUGGGAGGAAGGGCAUUAACCUAAUACGUUAGUGUUUUGACGUUACCGACAGAAUAAGCACCGGCUAACUUCGUGCCAGCGACCACGGUAAUACAAAAGGUGCAAGCGUUAAUCUUAGUUACUGGGCGUAUAGCGUGCGCACGCAUGCUUGUAAGUCUGAUGUGAAAUCCCCGGGCUCAACCUGCCAAUUGCAUCGCAGACUGCAAGGAUAGAAUCUGGCAGAGGGGGGCAGAAUUCCACGUGCCACAAUGAAGUGCAUAGAUAUGUGUUAGGAACACCGAUGGCCGAA